RNAcentral lists this transfer RNA (74 nucleotides) under Candidatus Onthovivens merdipullorum. RNAcentral describes it as "tRNA-Ile". It matches the Rfam family "tRNA". From Rfam's summary of the family: Transfer RNA (tRNA) molecules are approximately 80 nucleotides in length. Their secondary structure includes four short double-helical elements and three loops (D, anti-codon, and T loops). Lineage: Bacteria; Bacillati; Bacillota; Bacilli; Caryophanales. The record is from RNAcentral.
GGACCGUUAUCUCAGUAGGUUAGAGAAACUGACUCAUAAUCAGGAGGUCGCAGGUUCAAGCCCUGCACGGUCCA